AGAAGUUUAGGAUACAUUAGUCCAAGAGCCUUCAAAGCCCUAAGCAAACAAUCAAGUUUAACUUCUG
Molecule: transfer RNA, 67 nt
Filed under: Mus saxicola (spiny mouse)
Lineage: Eukaryota; Metazoa; Chordata; Mammalia; Rodentia; Muridae
Description: tRNA-Trp
Source: RNAcentral